UGCUCUUUGAUUGAUAAUAAAGAGUAAGACCUGCCCAGUGGUGAAAACUAAACGGCCGCAGAAUUUUAACUGUGCUAAGGUAGCAUAAUCAUUUGUUUUUUAAUUGAAAACUAGUAUGAACGGUUUAACGAAAUAAAGCUGUCUUUUUUAUUAUAAUUAUAAAUUAUUUUUAGAGUAAAAAUUCUCUAAUAAAAUAAAAAGACAAAAAGACCCUAUAGAGUUUAACUUUAAAAUAUUUAUUAUAUUAUUAAGUUUAGUUGGGGCAACUAAAUGAAAAAAAAUUUCAUUAAAUUUUUAUAUAAAAAUAUUAUCAUUAUUUUAAUAAAUUAAAAUAAAUUACCUUAGGGGUAACAGCGUAAGUAUCUUAAAGAGUUCAAAUCGAAAAGAUAAAUUACGACCUCGAUGUUGGAUUAGAAAAACUUAAAAUAGAAAAAAAUUUUAUAGUUAGUCUGUUCGACUAAUAAUAUUCUACAU
Molecule: ribosomal RNA, 474 nt
Filed under: Acanthomeniidae sp. SB-1 FB-2020
Lineage: Eukaryota; Metazoa; Mollusca; Solenogastres; Cavibelonia; Acanthomeniidae
Description: partial 16S ribosomal RNA
Rfam family: Bacterial large subunit ribosomal RNA
Source: RNAcentral